RNAcentral lists this ribosomal RNA (349 nucleotides) under uncultured bacterium. RNAcentral describes it as "partial 16S ribosomal RNA". It matches the Rfam family "Bacterial small subunit ribosomal RNA", at positions 338 to 701 of the family's 1533-position model. The record is from RNAcentral.
CCUACGGGUGGCUGCAGUGGGGAAUAUUGCACAAUGGGCGAAAGCCUGAUGCAGCAACGCCGCGUGAAGGAAGAAGGGUUUCGGCUCGUAAACGUCGAGCAACAGGGACGAAAGAAAUGACGGGACCAGAAUAAGAAGCCCCGGCUUACAACGGGCCAGCAGCCGCGGUAAGAAGUAGGGGGCAAGCUUUAGACGGAAUUACUGGGUGUAAAGGGUGAGUAGGCGGCAUGGGAAGCCAGAGGUGAAAGCCUGGGGCUUAACCCGAGGCUUGCAUUUGGCACUAUCAAGCUAGAGUACAGGAGAGGCAAGCGGCAUUCCUAUUGUAGCCGUUAAAUGCGUCGAUAUUAGG